Molecule: ribosomal RNA, 411 nt
Filed under: Triticum aestivum (bread wheat)
Lineage: Eukaryota; Viridiplantae; Streptophyta; Magnoliopsida; Poales; Poaceae
Description: partial small subunit ribosomal RNA
Source: RNAcentral
AUGGUGGGACACGGGAGCCUGCAGGCGUCGCUGUUGCCGGCGAGCAGCAUGGAGCGGCGGCCACCGACGGAGGGCCAGCAUGCGCCGGCCAGCGGGCAGCUGGCAGCUCCAUGCAGGAAGGUUCUGGAGGCAUUCGAUUUGGAUAUGGGGAGGAGGCUAACGGUGCAUGGAGAGCAGAGCGUGGCCUCGCCGCCGCUGUCCGCCGAGGGGAUUAGCCCGGAGGCCUCCUACUGCGACGGCGAGGGUAGGGGGCGUGGAGGAGGUGGACUAGAGAGGGUGGCGGCGAGGGUCCUCCAGAGUCGCCCGAGAGCAACCCGGGAGGAAGAGUAUCUCUGUUGGGUGUCUACACGUAGCUUCACCACUGGCUGGUUUGUUUGGAUGAAUGCAUGUUUACUGGUUGUCUGCUUUUAG